AGUGAACGCUGGCGGUAGGCCUAACACAUGCAAGUCGAACGGCAGCACAGUAAGAGCUUGCUCUUACGGGUGGCGAGUGGCGGACGGGUGAGGAAUACAUCGGAAUCUACUUUUUCGUGGGGGAUAACGUAGGGAAACUUACGCUAAUACCGCAUACGCCCUACGGGUGAAAGCAGGGGAUCUUCGGACCUUGCGCGUUUGAAUGAGCCGAUGUCGGAUUAGCUAGUUGGCGGGGUAAAGGCCCACCAAGGCGACGAUCCGUAGCUGGUCUGAGAGGAUGAUCGGCCACACGGGAGCUGAGACACGGUCCAGGCUCCUACGGGAGGCAGCAGUCGGCAAUAUUGGACAAUGGGCGCAAGCCUGAUCCAGCCAUACCGCGUGGGUGAAGAAGGCCUUCGGGUUGUAAAGCCCUUUUGUUGGGAAAGAAAAGCAGCAGGUUAAUACCCCGCUGUUCCGACGGUACCCAAAGAAUAAGCACCGGCUAACUUCGUG
This 492-nucleotide ribosomal RNA is filed under the name uncultured bacterium. RNAcentral describes it as "partial 16S ribosomal RNA". It matches the Rfam family "Bacterial small subunit ribosomal RNA", at positions 29 to 507 of the family's 1533-position model. The record is from RNAcentral.